AACAAUAUUUUUGGGUUUGAGUUGUAUCAUACUUCAAUCAUGCCUAUUUGAUUUUGAAUGUAAGUGGUUUUAAAUUUUACCCACCGUGGGAGGCCAGGAAUCUCCGCUGUGGUGGAGAGCUCAUGGGAGUGGAUAAGCUCCUUCUCUGUUCUAACUUCUCAGGGAGCUGGUGGACCAGAGGAGGAAGAUAAUUGAUGGCCGCCAUGCCUGAAACCUCUGCUUAAAGAGCAGUUCUUUGUUCACUGCAAGUUUCAUGUAGACUCUCACAAGGGUGAUUGCAAUAUGUAUUACUUUGACUGCACCAACGGUGAGCUUUGCUCUCUUUGUCUUGCCCAUCACAAAGCUCACCUCACCAUCCAAUCCAAAUAGGUCGAUCUUUAGGUCUAUAUAUCAAUAGCCUGGCACAAUGCUUGGAUCCAUGCAGGUCUGACUCCUUAAAUAUAUCCCAUCAAAAGUUCUGAUUUUGUUUCUUACCCUCUAUCUAAUAAUCUAAAACUUUUUAAUACUAUCUGAUUUGAUCAAUGGAUUCUACUUGCAACUUCUUUCUCAUAGGUGUAUAAUACUCCAGUCAUGCCUAUUUGAUUUUGAAUGUAGGUAGUUUUUAAUGUUACCCAGCUCCCUAUUAUUUUCAAUUUCUAUCUUUUUUUCUCAAAAUUGGCCAUUGUUUUAAGAUUAUGCAAGUAAAUUUUGGAUUAAACUGAACCUUAUACAAGUUCUUGGUUGUUUAUGUGAUCUAUGGAGCAUUGUGUGUUGCAGAGAGAGAGAGAGUUCCUGCUCAGAAAGGUGGAACUGCAGGAACAAAAAGCAAUGAGGUUGAGAAAAGAGCAGCAGCUGAUGUGGCUUCAGCCUUGGAAUCUUACGAAGCAGACAAUGGAGAAGGCUACAAUGAUCAUUACCUCGUGAAGAUCACAAUCAUGAGCGGUUGUAAAUGCAUCGAUGUCCAAUCUAAAACCGUCAAAUAAACGCGAAGGGUCUUGAAAGGAACAUGAAAAUGUAGCUUACUUAUUGUUCUUAUGUACUUUUUGUUUUCAAGGCACCAUUGCUCAGCAGAAGAAAAUGAUCGUUAACAGAACUAUAAGACUGAUAAGAAUUAUAAGACUCUCUCUACUUAACU
Molecule: long non-coding RNA, 1114 nt
Organism: Brassica oleracea var. oleracea
Lineage: Eukaryota; Viridiplantae; Streptophyta; Magnoliopsida; Brassicales; Brassicaceae
Exons: 3
Source: RefSeq, a predicted model, not a curated record